AAAUUGAAGAGUUUGAUCAUGGCUCAGAUUGAACGCUGGCGGCAGGCCUAACACAUGCAAGUCGAACGGUAACAGGAAUCAGCUUGCUGAUUUGCUGACGAGUGGCGGACGGGUGAGUAAUGUCUGGGAAACUGCCUGAUGGAGGGGGAUAACUACUGGAAACGGUAG
Molecule: ribosomal RNA, 168 nt
Filed under: Escherichia coli
Lineage: Bacteria; Pseudomonadati; Pseudomonadota; Gammaproteobacteria; Enterobacterales; Enterobacteriaceae
Description: partial 16S ribosomal RNA
Rfam family: Bacterial small subunit ribosomal RNA
Source: RNAcentral